AAUAAAUAGCUUUAUCGGUCGUCCCACUGUCUAUAUCACUCUGUUCAGCUCUUAAUAUUAUUCCGUAUCAUGUCUUUGUGACGUCAAAUACGUUGACCCGGCCUUAAUAACUUUGACCCGGACAUAUCAGCGACGUCAUAAUGUUUGAACCGACGUUAAUAACUUUGACCCGAACUUAUCAAGUCAUCUUUUGUGUGCUGGUGAAACAAAGAAACACUUCUGAAACACGCAAAUAUAGCCCGAUAAAUCGAUGAUCA
RNAcentral lists this long non-coding RNA (257 nucleotides) under Mytilus galloprovincialis (Mediterranean mussel). Lineage: Eukaryota; Metazoa; Mollusca; Bivalvia; Mytilida; Mytilidae. The record is from RNAcentral.